This 507-nucleotide ribosomal RNA is filed under the name uncultured Propionibacterium sp. RNAcentral describes it as "bacterial SSU rRNA". It matches the Rfam family "Bacterial small subunit ribosomal RNA", at positions 8 to 526 of the family's 1533-position model. The record is from RNAcentral. Lineage: Bacteria; Bacillati; Actinomycetota; Actinomycetes; Propionibacteriales; Propionibacteriaceae.
AGAGUUUGAUCCUGGCUCAGGACGAACGCUGGCGGCGUGCUUAACACAUGCAAGUCGAACGGAAAGGCCCUGCUUUUGUGGGGUGCUCGAGUGGCGAACGGGUGAGUAACACGUGAGUAACCUGCCCUUGACUUUGGGAUAACUUCAGGAAACUGGGGCUAAUACCGGAUAGGAGCUCCUGCUGCAUGGUGGGGGUUGGAAAGUUUCGGCGGUUGGGGAUGGACUCACGGCUUAUCAGCUUGUUGGUGGGGUAGUGGCUUACCAAGGCUUUGACGGGUAGCCGGCCUGAGAGGGUGACCGGCCACAUUGGGACUGAGAUACGGCCCAGACUCCUACGGGAGGCAGCAGUGGGGAAUAUUGCACAAUGGGCGGAAGCCUGAUGCAGCAACGCCGCGUGCGGGAUGACGGCCUUCGGGUUGUAAACCGCUUUCGCCUGUGACGAAGCGUGAGUGACGGUAAUGGGUAAAGAAGCACCGGCUAACUACGUGCCAGCAGCCGCGGUAAUAC